AGAAGUCACUAAUGGUGUUCCUAAUGUUAGAUUUCAGGUUUGAUUGGGUUUGAGUAGAGUUCUCAUGAGUUUUCAAUAAAAGUGAUAAAAGUAUCAAAUCAAAUAAAAUGGCAUUGAUAAAUUAAGUGUUUUUAAUACUUUAUUAUUACGUUCCUAACCCUAAUUUACUGUUUCAGUUGAAUGUUGUAGUCAAGAAAGUAGUCAAGACAUGAAAG
Molecule: long non-coding RNA, 215 nt
Filed under: Gossypium barbadense (sea-island cotton)
Lineage: Eukaryota; Viridiplantae; Streptophyta; Magnoliopsida; Malvales; Malvaceae
Description: long non-coding RNA (GBAR_LNC015615)
Source: RNAcentral